Long non-coding RNA from Peromyscus californicus insignis, 2215 nucleotides. RefSeq lists it as uncharacterized. The record is from RefSeq and is a predicted model, not a curated record. Lineage: Eukaryota; Metazoa; Chordata; Mammalia; Rodentia; Cricetidae. The transcript is spliced from 3 exons.
UUUGGCCAGAGCAGCUGAGAAACUGAGUUUGCCAUUUGCACAGGAGAGUGUGGGAGGAACCGGCUUUGGAGAUGGAAAUCUGUCCAGUAGGUGGCUGUACAUGAGAGUCUGAAGUCUGGAGACAGGAUGGGGCUCGGGAGCUAAUUUGGGGAGCUAUGAUACAUAAUGGUAUUUAAAGGAUGGUGAGAUCGUGUCCAGGAAGUGGACAAAAAGAAGAGGUACAAAGACAAGCCUACAUCAUUCAGGCGACAGGACAGGGCAGAGGACCAGGGCAGUGGUGCCCUCGGCCACUCCCUGCCUUGCCUCCUCCUCCUCAUACCCCUGAGCCUUGGCUCCCUGUAGCUGAAGCUCCCGUGUCUCUGAUGAGCAGGACUCCAGCCUGGCGCAAUGAGUUCUUGCAGAUUCUACCCAGCCACGCUCGAUCACAGGGAAAUGUUUAUGGCAAAGGCUGCAAGACUCCAUCUGAAGAAGGUCAAUAAGGCCACUCGGAGCUGAGUGCAGCCAGCGUCCCUAGCAAGACCCAGAGUGAGUGGGAAGGCAGGCCCAACAAGGAGUGAGGGACUCUUCCCACCAGGCUGAGAAGCGAACCAGAGACCUAGAGGAGCCCAGCAUUGGACUAGGUGUUCCUCCUCAUCCCCAUUGCUCUUCUCAACAGCAGACUCAACUGGAGAGGGGGCAGGAUGGAGAGUGGGGUCAUAACAUGGCUCUUCAAGGUGCUGGAAAAGUCAUCUGGGAGGCCACCAAACACCAACAGAUCCAAGUCUCGUUGUACAGAUGGGAAAACAAGGCCGGAAGAGGGGAGAGGCACACAGCCAGUGUGUGCUGGGGCAGGAAGAAUGGCAGAGGAAUGUGUUAUGAGCAAAGCCAAAAGACUGAGGCCCACAAGUGCUGUGACGCCCACCCCACCCAUCCUGGCUGUUUCCUUCCUUCCUGCACUGAGACCUGUCUCUCCUCUGGAGACUUCCUCAGCUCUGCUCCAACACUUACCCUCAACUAUUCCCUGGGCCUGGCCUCAGUCUCCCAGGCCUGGCUUCUCUGCUCUCAUCUCCUUCCGACCCUUCAUCACCUUUGUUCUCCAGCACGAAGGCUCCUCCAGCCCCCCACCUCCUCUUCACAUUUCCCACUUCCUAUCUCCUCUUCCUUCUCCUUGGCGUUAUCACUCACACACCAUGGACUGUGCAUGAAUAUAAACGCCAAAGAACAAGAUCUUCCUUGUGUCUAUAUCCUUGAAGGUAGAUGGUGCCUGCCACAGUACAGACUUUCAACCAGCGACUACUGAGAGAAUGGAUAGGCCUGAUCUGUGGUUGGGGUCAACGAUCUUGUGAGCCUGACACUGAGCAGAAACUGAAAGGUGUUACAGGAGCCAGCCAUGGUUCCACAGGCCUGGAAUCUCAGCAGGAGGGUUAUCAGUUAGAGGCCAGCCUGAGCUACAUAAAGAGACCAAGUCUCAAAACAGCAAACCAAAAGCUCGUUUCAGGGCAGGUGUGAUGGGGCUCAGCAGGUAAAAGCACCUGCAUGGAGUGGAUGGGGAAAAGAAUCAAUAAACAGAAGGAUAAGACAGACCCUCAUCCCUGGAGCCUGUGUAGACCUCUCAUAUGUUCAUGCUCACAAGACCCCUGGGGAGAAGGAGCUUGCCCGGGGUCAAGAGGCUGGAGCCGUGUAGCGGCCAACCCUUUCCUGGUCACCUCCAGCUCUGGAUCACUUGGCUUUCAUCCUCCUAGCAUGGGACACCAGUGAUGGCGAAGAGACACAGCUGGAGCAUUCCGGUCAAGAAUACCUGGAGAGUAAAUGUCAUGGCAACCCACUGAGGACAUGGGCCAAGUCACAGGCGCUCAGGCAGGACCCCAAAUUUGCAGUGGCAGAGACACGUCUUGGUACAAUCCCAUCCAGGAUUCAUCCGUCCUCUUUAUCUGUCACCGGGAACUUGAGGUGAGUCACCCUCAUCACUGACCUCAUCCAGGAAGCCCCGCCACAAGGUCAUGUAUUCAGGGAGAUAGGUGGCAAAGAUGCCUGCCGUGGCCUUGGGACCUGUCACCAACAGUUCUCCGCUUGCAAAAUUGUAAAUGGCACCUGUGGAGACAAAGACAGGAGCCUGAGGAGUAAGCGGCUGGAAAUUCUUCAACAGCUUUACUAGGCUAGGUUUUUUGUUUGUUUGUUUGUUUGUUUGUUUGUUUGUUUCUCAUCCUUCCAGAACUAGAUACCAAGAUGGCAUCUA